Molecule: ribosomal RNA, 359 nt
Filed under: uncultured bacterium
Lineage: Bacteria
Description: bacterial SSU rRNA
Rfam family: Bacterial small subunit ribosomal RNA
Source: RNAcentral
AUUGAACGCUGGCGGAAUGCUUUACACAUGCAAGUCGAACGGUAGAGGGGGCGACCCCUUGAGAGUGGCGAACGGGUGAGUAAUAUAUCGGAACGUGCCCAGUCGUGGGGGAUAACGCAGCGAAAGCUGUGCUAAUACCGCAUACGAUCUACGGAUGAAAGCGGGGGACUCGCAAGAGCCUCGCGCGAUUGGAGCGGCCGAUAUCAGAUUAGCUAGUUGGUGGGGUAAAGGCCACCAAGGCGACGAUCUGUAGCUGGUCUGAGAGAACGACCAGCCACACUGGAACUGAGACACGGUCCAGACUCCUACGGAGGCAGCAGUGGGAAUUUGGACAUGGGGGAAACCCUGAUCCAGCAAUG